RNAcentral lists this long non-coding RNA (240 nucleotides) under Brassica napus (rape). RNAcentral's name for it is "long non-coding RNA (BNAP_LNC021796)". The record is from RNAcentral. Lineage: Eukaryota; Viridiplantae; Streptophyta; Magnoliopsida; Brassicales; Brassicaceae.
UUUAAACGAGUCUGGGAAGUCUUCUAUUUUAGUUUCCCGCUAAAAAUAUUUUAAUUUUCCGCUAAAAAUAUUAAAGUCUUCUGGACGACUUACAAGUAAGUCGUCUGAAUCAAAAAUAUUUAACAUCAUUGGAUUUUUUUGUCUCCUUUAUAAAGAAAAAAUUACACUUUCUCUCUCCUCCUCUCAAAUGGCUGCAACAAAAAAGUAAUGUUCAUCAUUCUAAAAUUCUUCAACCUCUCU